RNAcentral lists this ribosomal RNA (309 nucleotides) under Triticum aestivum (bread wheat). RNAcentral's name for it is "partial small subunit ribosomal RNA". Lineage: Eukaryota; Viridiplantae; Streptophyta; Magnoliopsida; Poales; Poaceae. The record is from RNAcentral.
AUGUUAGAGAGUCUUCACAUAGUUACAUUAUUAUUCAACUACUCAUUGAUCUUCACUUAUAUCUUUUGGAGUAGUUUGUCAUUUACUCUAGUGCUUCACUUAUAUCUUUUUAGAGCAUGGUGGUGGUUUUAUUUUAUAGAAGUUAUUGAACUCUCAUUCUUCACUUAUAUUAUUUUGAGAGUCCUAAAUAGCAUGGUAAUUUUUUUUGGUUAUGAAACUAGUCCUAAUAUGAUAGGCAUCCAAGAGGGAUAUAAUAAAAACUUUCAUAUAAAGUGCAUUGAAUACUAUGUGAAGUUUGAUUCCUUAUGA